Molecule: ribosomal RNA, 89 nt
Filed under: Providencia rettgeri
Lineage: Bacteria; Pseudomonadati; Pseudomonadota; Gammaproteobacteria; Enterobacterales; Morganellaceae
Also listed under: 3 other names
Description: partial 16S ribosomal RNA
Rfam family: Bacterial small subunit ribosomal RNA
Source: RNAcentral
UAAUUGAAGAGUUUGAUCAUGGCUCAGAUUGAACGCUGGCGGCAGGCCUAACACAUGCAAGUCGAGCGGUAACAGGGGAAGCUUGCUUC